UACAAGACUGCGUUCAGUUCUCAGCACCA
RNAcentral lists this non-coding RNA (29 nucleotides) under Mus musculus (house mouse). The record is from RNAcentral. Lineage: Eukaryota; Metazoa; Chordata; Mammalia; Rodentia; Muridae.